GGGAACGCCCCCAGCCGGCUCACUUCCGGUGGGGUUCACAAGAUGUGGGGCAUCACUGUUAAGAAGAUCCCUCUGGCUGCCAUGAGGAGAAUGGAUUGGAAGGAGCCAGCAUGCCUCAGGAAGGUAGAGCUUUUAGGAGUCUGUUGUAGUUGCACAGGCAGUUAGUUACCAGAGGAUGGUUGCCACCAAGAUGGAGCCAAGGCUGAAAGAGGAAGACAUUCGGAGCUCCAGCACAGAUGGCAGGAAUCCCCAGGAUGACUUGGAGAAUAACCAGUCCAGACUAUAGCAAGUCUGGUUCUGGGGAAGGCUACUUCAAAAGGAUGAGCAAUUUGAGAGAGAUUUAGACAAUCAGCAACAAGGUUGGGGUUGAAUUGGUGAUAAAUACAUGAAAACUAAGCCAGUGGGACAAUUAAACAAUAUUAGAUGAAAAAGGAAAAGUGUUGAAAGGUUACUACAUGGCUCAGUUGUGCAGUUUCCACAUAAUCCCAAUAAUGUGAAUUGAAUAUUGAGCUGUACAAAAUUAUGGCAUAACUAUACUGGAAAGAUGGGGGAAUGAAAAGAAUAUUUGUGUGCAUAGAAAAGAGCUAAACCCUCAUGCACCAUGGUGGGGAGUCAGUGGGUAACACUGAAACAAAAUUCACCAAGCAGCGUAUCAUCUAGAGACAGGGGGUAAAAUUUAAAAAAAAUUUAAAAAAGGCUAAAACAGGUGUCUGCAAGCACUCUGAGAGUAGUGUCUGCUUUUCCUAUUUUUUUAAAAAAUAACAAUUGUAGAAUUGUUUGAUUGUUAAAUCUAUGUGCUUAUAUGUAUAACUUUAAUAAAAAUGAAAACAAACAAUAACAAAAAGGCUUUGUGCUUAUCAAAAUUACUAAUGUUGUUUGACCCAGCAAUACUACUUCUAGGAAUUUAUCUUAUAAAUGAUUUGGCAAAAUAAUGGAAUACAAGAUAAUUCAUUACAACACUAUCUAUAAUAAUGAUUGGAAACAAACUAGGGUUUGGUUAAAUAAAUUGUUGCUUUUAUACAAAGGAAUACUAUUCCGCUAUGAGCUAGGAACAAAAAAGCCCUUUGUGUACUGAAAAGAAAGACCUCAAAGAUAAAUUACAUGUGGAAUGUUCAUCCUUGGAGUUGAAAAAAAAAUUACAUGAAAAAUGCACAAUUCAGAACACUGUAUGUAUGCUACAAUUUGGGUUUUUAAAAAAGGGCUAGAAUAUAUAAAUACACAUGAUUUGUACAAAAUAUUCCUGGAAAAAUACGUUUGAAAAACCAAAUAAUAUUGGUUGCAUCUGGAAAGAUGUAUUGGGUGGCUAGGAAAUGGGUGGAGGAAGACUUUUACCCUAAACCCGUUUUAUGCAUUCUGAAAAUGUAAAAGGGUUACUUAUUUAAAAAACUAAGUAAUGCUGGCUAAUAUGGUGAAACCCCAUCUCUACUAAAAAAACAAAA
Molecule: long non-coding RNA, 1439 nt
Organism: Cercocebus atys (sooty mangabey)
Lineage: Eukaryota; Metazoa; Chordata; Mammalia; Primates; Cercopithecidae
Exons: 3
Source: RefSeq, a predicted model, not a curated record